This 585-nucleotide ribosomal RNA is filed under the name uncultured bacterium. Its description in RNAcentral is "partial 16S ribosomal RNA". It matches the Rfam family "Bacterial small subunit ribosomal RNA", at positions 355 to 1375 of the family's 1533-position model. The record is from RNAcentral.
UGGGGAAUUUCGGACAAUGGGCGAAAGCCUGAUCCAGCAAUGCCGCGUGUGUGAAGAAGGCCUUCGGGUUGUAAAGCACUUUUGUCCGGAAAGAAAUCCUUGGCUCUAAUACAGUCGGGGGAUGACGGUACCGGAAGAAUAAGCACCGGCUAACUACGUGCCAGCAGCCGCGGUAAUACGUAGGGUGCAAGCGUUAAUCGGAAUUACUGGGCGUAAAGCGUGCGCAGGCGGUUUGCUAAGACCGAUGUGAAAUCCCCGGGCUCAACCUGGGAACUGCAUUGGUGACUGGCAGGCUAGAGUAUGGCAGAGGGGGGUAGAAUUCCACGUGUAGCAGUGAAAUGCGUAGAGAUGUGGAGGAAUACCGAUGGCGAAGGCAGCCCCCUGGGCCAAUACUGACGCUCAUGCACGAAAGCGUGGGGAGCAAACAGGAUUAGAUGCCCUGGUAGUCCACGCCCUAAACGAUGUCAACUAGUUGUUGGGGAUUCAUUUCCUUAGUAACGUAGCUAACGUGUGAAGUUGACCGCCUGGGGAGUACGGUCGCAAGAUUAAAACUCAAAGGAAUUGACGGGGUCAUAGCUGUUUCCU